ACCCUAAAGGUAUAUAUUUGCUUUUUUUUCACCAUCCAGUCCCACACUUGGUCUGAACAUUUCAUCUGGAGCCACAGGGGAGGGCUACCACCUCUUCUUCCUCUUACACAGCUCCUGUAAACAAGGCAGUGAAUGUUUCACUUCUGCAGGGAAGAUCCUGAGGCCACCAUCGCAGCCGAGGUCACCUCGCUGGAGAUGAGCGCUCAACACUAAUGAUCCAGUGCCGUAGGAAAAUGACACAGGGAACUGUACUCGUGACUACAGAGGAGAUAAGUGGAGGUGCAGUGGAUUUGGUCCUUCCUCAGCGGUGUUGUGAAAGCACUUCCUCUUCCUCCCCCCGUGAGCCCCGGGCUCAAGUCAGACCGAUGGAGAGAGCAGCACGGAGCAACCAGACAGCGCAUCCCGCUCCCGGGCAGUCCGGCUCAGAGCCCUCGGUACCCCCU
This 443-nucleotide long non-coding RNA is filed under the name Anser brachyrhynchus (Pink-footed goose). RNAcentral's name for it is "lncRNA (ENSABRG00000000390.1)". The record is from RNAcentral. Lineage: Eukaryota; Metazoa; Chordata; Aves; Anseriformes; Anatidae.